This 2319-nucleotide long non-coding RNA is filed under the name Marmota monax (woodchuck). The record is from RNAcentral. Lineage: Eukaryota; Metazoa; Chordata; Mammalia; Rodentia; Sciuridae.
AAAUUUUUCAACCCUUUAACGAAGUUAUGCAAGUACAAAGUUAAAGUUACAGUAGAUAACUUAGAUAUGAAAGAGCACUACAAAAUGUGGUUGGCAGUUCAUGCAUGUGGUAUUUGUUUGUGAAAAUAUUGAGCUAUAUAUGGACCACUUCCUAUAAAAACAAAUAACGAUGUUGCUUUAUUGCCACACAUUGACCUUCUGCUAAUCACAACCAGAUCCAAAAACACAUAUGAUUGCAUUAAUGUCUUUGAACACUAGAGGGAGAUAUAUUCACCUGCAAAUCAGGAAGAGGGAAACCUCCAGUUUUCUAUAGAAGCUACUCUUUUUAACACCAACUCAUAGAUUCUUUUAAAUGUUGAUAUUUUUGCAAUUAUCAAAAAAUAAAGUCAUACAUUAGAAAUGAAGAAAAUUCUAUAUAUUUGGAAAGUAACCCGACCUCUUUGUUACAUCAAGUCUUACUAAUAGGCUGUUUUAUAUAUGAUAAUGAUAUGCUAUAUUUUCAGGUGAUCCCUUUGUCAUUUUUUUCUAGUACAGUGUGAAGUUACAAUAUAUAAUCUAGCUAAUUUUUAUUUGGAUAAACAUCAUUUCUUCUUCCCUGGGAUUUGGCUCCAUGUAAGCCAAAGUGUCAAAGCUUUGAGAGACCUUUCGUCUAUGGGCUUGGCGAACGUGUUGUACUUCGUCACGUUCCUUGUUUCUCAGGUAGCUUAAAGGUCACUGGUACAGAGUUCAUUCUGAACUUUUUAUUUGCCCAGUAAAAUGCUUUUGAACUUUGCUUGGUAAUCACAUAGAUAUGUAGUGUUUUCAUGAUUGCUUGGGGCAACUGGAAAACUUUCUCUUUAUUUACUUCAGUAAUCAUUCCAAAGAACAUACUGUAAGAUGUCCUCUUUUCCUGAACAAAGGUUGAAUGAGAGUUCCAUCCAACAAUGCUUAGCCUAACAAAUACUUUGUUUGACCUUGUAACUAAUUUAAUGAGUCUUCUUUUCUGUGAUUUCAAGACUGAAAUGAUUCUGGUAAUUGAAGAAAAAGUGACCUUUCUCUAGUGUAGGACUUUGGUGUAGGAAAAGAGGCUAUUUUCUGGAAUCAAGCUGGUGUGAAUCCUGUUUGUCUCUACCUGUUGGUGAAGGUGAGUACGUUGCUUGACAUCUCUAAACUGCCUUUUUUAUCUCUGUAAUCAAGAUCACAACCCUUUAGAAUUGUUGGAGGGAUUGAUUCACAUGAAGUAUGAAAAGCACCCAGUUUAGUUCCAAGUACAAGGCAGUUAUUUCAAGUUCCCUGGACCUUCUUUUUUCUUUCCAUCUGAAAUGCUUUAUACAAUGACCCUGUAAAUCACAUGUGCAUAGAUUAUGUGCCCUGAAGUUAUUUGUCAAGUGCUGAUGAUAAGUACAGAAUGUGACUUCAGCCACAUUUGCAAGGCAAUCCUGUCAGAGUAGAGUAGGGUCAGAGUUGUAUUGCCCUAUGCUCUGUAUGAUAAGGCCAGAUACCUGACCUCCCCAAGGUCCCAUAUGGUUCAUGAUCAACCACUCCAAAAUAUGGGCUUGGGAGCAGAGAAAAAAGGAGGCAACUAGAAGUUAGGCAAGGGCUGUUGUCCCUAAAAGAAAGGAAUAACUUCCUCUUUCCCUUUCACAAAUGUAAAUUCCUCCUCCCCACCUCCAGAAAAGUCCAGUUCAAAUCCUACUUUCCCCAGAAGAUGUUUCCAGCCUAAGUAAAUUCACUUCUCUAAACACCUGAAACAUUUAUCCAAUUUAAUCAUCUGGCAAUGCUUGCUUUUCAUUCCUUCUUUGCCACAUGGUUUACAUGUCUCCCUAGCCAGGGAGGUUCUUGUAAGGCAGAAAUCUGACCAAUUUUGAGUUUUUUACUUUAGCAUAUUUCAUGGUGCUCUAUAUGAAGUAGACAUUGAAUACAAACUUGAAUGUAUUUCCAUGUCAAUUUUCCUCCUUUGUCAUAUACAGUUUGAUAAUAAAAUACAACAGGUAAUCAUUUUUCUGUUAUAUGCAGUUUGAUAAUAAAACACAAUGGGUAAUCAUUUUUCUGCUUGUUGGGAAAACAUAUAACGGCAGCAGCACCCCAGAGAAAAACCCCAACAUGGCGUCUAACGACCCUCUUUCUCCUCUUUGUUUCUUUCACUGGCGCUAAACAUUCCCGCCGGCGACAACGUUCAAACCCUGCUGGUGGGAAGCCUUAGCCCCAAUUAGAAUUAACUUCUUGGGCUCCGGAACUGACAUAUGGAAGAGCUUGCCAGUAAACGGGCGACCUGUUAUCUACCUCAGCCCUGCGACCUCUCCUGAGACCUAUAUAAACACACAGCCUUUUGUAAUAAAG